AUCGGGGGACAUGAAGCCCAGCCCAAUUCCAGACCCUACAUGGCCUAUCUGGAAAUACAAGAUGGACAGGUUAAAAGAAUGUGGAGUGUUCCUGGUGAAGAAAAACUUUGUACUGACAGCUGCUCACUGCAGAGGAAAGCCGAAGGGUGGCUCCAAAGAGCCUGUUGGAAAGACUCUGACCCUGGCCUGCUGGCGGGAUGUGAGCAUCUCCUGUCUCUCCUUGUGCCUCAGUUUUCCCCCAUACCCUAUGGGGAGAAUGACAUCUGUGAUGUAAGGCCUAUGCAUGACGGACAGUCCCGAAGAACUGGGUGCUAUUACCAUUAUCGUGAGCAGUUCCCCGCUACUGUCCAUGAAAAUGGAAACACCAAAGACAGACCUGGGAAAGCCACCCUGAAUCCUCCAGCCCGACGCCAUUAGAAACACACAGAGAACAGCCAAGCAACCCUAGAGUGUAGGUCUGAAAGCCUAACCUUGAAAAUUGUUUUAAGUGAUAAUUAUUCUAAUUUUUGUUAGUAUAUGAUAUGAUGUGUUGUGAAUUAGUAAGGAGAAGUUGUUUUGGUUUUAUUCUUUGCUUUAUGAGUUAAUGAUUGUUUUUAGAAGGAUAGAAGUGUUAUGGCUGUAAUUCUUUCUUUUUAAAUUAUUUACUGUUUUGUGUGUGAGUGAAGAAUGUAUGGCAUGCUAACAGAUAGAGACAGGAGGCACCAGUACCAGAUGAGCCAGAUGGUCAAGAGGGGAGUGAAGGAAUUGAGAGUUGCCACCCUAAUUAUCAGAAGGACUGAAGAAGGGCAGAUUGACGACCCUAAAGCAGAGGCACAUCCCCCCACGCCCCAGGAUAAGAUAAAGAGUGGAGCCAGAGAGACGAGAUAAAAAACAGCUGCGGAAAACAACCCAAAUUAAUGCUGAUUUGACAGAGGCCCCAGCCCCAGCGUGCGGCAAAUCCAGAGCCCCCCGGGCACCCGUUUGUGAUUAACGACUGCAGUGUGACACAGCAGGUCCCAUAGACUUGCAGGGGAAUUUAUUGCUAUAAAAGAAGGGUGUAUGGCCAUGGGACUUUGGGUUUGUUCUGCGUCAACACCGGAGCUUCGAAUGCGUUUGACAGAGGCCCCAGCUCCCCUCCCUCGUUUGCAGUUUCAGUUGGCCACAGAAACUGAAUGAGCAGCGCUAAGGACUGCAAGAUCACUGUCAAGAUGGGAGCCCAUAACAUUAGGGAACAGGAAUGGAGCCAAGAGAAAAUCCCCGUCCACCACCAGAUUCCCCACCAGCAAUACAAAAAGAAGACCCUUAACAUUGACAUCAUGCUGCUGCAGGUAUCAUCCACUUCCCAUCACCCCACCCCCUGUGACCUCACACUGCUGCAGCUGC
Molecule: non-coding RNA, 1362 nt
Organism: Chrysemys picta bellii (western painted turtle)
Lineage: Eukaryota; Metazoa; Chordata; Testudines; Emydidae
Source: RefSeq, a predicted model, not a curated record